Molecule: ribosomal RNA, 1815 nt
Filed under: Triticum aestivum (bread wheat)
Lineage: Eukaryota; Viridiplantae; Streptophyta; Magnoliopsida; Poales; Poaceae
Description: partial small subunit ribosomal RNA
Source: RNAcentral
AUGGGGCCUUCUAAGGACGAUGUGGAUCGCCUCUUCGCCUGCUUCAAAUGCGGCGUCUCCCCUCCUCAGUCGGCAUUCAGGGUGAGACCGCGUCAGCAGGGCAAGAAGUUGCGGGUCACGCCUUCGGCGGAAGGCGAUGGCGGCGGAAGCAGUUCCUCUUCUGCUUCGGCACGGAAAGCUGGGGAAAAUGCGAGCGAGCAUAGGGAGCCAUCAUCAGCCGCGAUCAAAUUCAGAAAUCGAAAGCAGAUGUCUCCAGUUGUGUUCUACGGUUCUCCACAAGGUGUUCCAGUGAAAAAGCCGAUGAGCCUCUUGAGGCUGCUUCGUGAAAUCCACAUUGACCUCAAGAAGCAAACUGAUUUGAUCUCCAGGGAUGUUGUUUGGGCUACAUUCCCUAGGCAAGAUGAGGCAAUAAGGUUCUCAAAGGAACAUGCACACACCAAAGUCUUCAGUUAUCAAGAUCACUUGAGCGGGCAAAGAAGAUUCCUUGUGUCUACAUAUGACGAGUUCUGGAGAAGGUACAAUUAUAUGGACCCACAGAUUCGCCAUCACUAUGAAGUUAUCCAGGAGGGUUCACCUUGCCACAUUUACUUUGAUCUCGAGUUUAACGCAAAACUGAACCAGAAGAGAGAUGCAGAUGAAAUGGUUGAUACAUUGGUUGCUGUCACAUUCAGUGCCUUGCAGGACAAAUAUUCCAUCGAAGGACAAGAAGAAUGGAUCAUAGAAUUAGACUCAUCUAAUGAAGAAAAGUUUUCGCGCCAUUUGAUCAUUCGUAUACCAAAGACUGCAUUCAAGGAUAACUCCCAUGUUGGUGCAUUUACCUCUGAGAUCUGCUCUCGGAUUGCCGCUCAACGUGCAGCCAAUCCCAACCUUGAUAAGCUGUAUAUUACAAAAGAUAGCAGCGGCGCAGAACCUGUUGAUCAGCUCUUCGUGGAUACUGCUGUAUACUCUCGUAAUCGUUGCUUCCGUUUAGCCUUCUCAUCAAAGUCUGGGAAAAAAUCAUUUCUUGUGGCUACUGGACGUUUCAAAUGUAAGAACAUGAAUGACAAGGAACUAUUUAUGGAGUCACUUAUUUGCAGAUUAGAUGAUGACUGCGAUAAGCUUUUGAUCUGCAAACUUGAUUUGGAAUGCAAGAAAGCAUUACAUUUUGACACUGAAGCCAGCGUUACACGAAUUCAAGCAAAAAACUGCCGGGUUGCCAUUGAUACUUACCGAAGUGAUUUUCCUCAAGCAUAUACUUACGGGAGAUCUCCUUUUCCAGCUCUGGACGGUUUUAUUGAAUCUAUAGCUUCCUUUGGAAGUGUCUCAGGGAAAAUUCGAUGCUGGUACUGGUUUUCCCAAGAUGGUUUAAUGAUUUAUAGCAUGUCAAGGAGUAGAUACUGUGAGCAUAUUGGAAGAGAGCAUAAAAGCAAUCAUGUUAUGUACAUUGUGGAUUUCCAAAGAGCUGCGUAUUACCAGAAGUGUUAUGACCCUGAUUGUCGAGGGUACCGUUCUCCACUGCGUGCCGUACCCUUGGAUGCGAUUCCUGAGCUCACCACCUCCAUAGCCGGAUCGGCCCAGAGAGAUUAUCAAGGGAAUGUUGUGGAAUUCAAUAUGGAAGGCGGCGGAAACGAUGGUAACUCUGUUAUGGGGAGCGGGGAGGUGGAGGAGGAUCCUGGUUGGUGGGAAGAAGCGGUGAAGUUUGCUGACAGUGUCGAGAAUGUCGAUCAUGCUCCUCCUGCAUCUUGUAACUUGGAGGAUGGCGGCUGUGACGAUACUGACUGGUGGACGGAUGUGGAAAGGUUUAUGGUGCAGAUGGAAUCACAGGGCGAUGCAUAG